This 725-nucleotide ribosomal RNA is filed under the name uncultured bacterium. RNAcentral's name for it is "bacterial SSU rRNA". It matches the Rfam family "Bacterial small subunit ribosomal RNA", at positions 61 to 750 of the family's 1533-position model. The record is from RNAcentral.
GUCGUACGAGUUCUCGUUGAUGAUCGGUGCUUGCACCGAGAUUCAACAUAGAACGAGUGGCGGACGGGUGAGUAACACGUGGGUAACCUGCCCUUAAGUGGGGGAUAACAUUUGGAAACAGAUGCUAAUACCGCAUAGAUCCAAGAACCGCAUGGUUCUUGGCUGAAAGAUGGCGUAAGCUAUCACUUUUGGAUGGACCCGCGGCGUAUUAGCUAGUUGGUGAGGUAAUGGCUCACCAAGGCGAUGAUACGUAGCCGAACUGAGAGGUUGAUCGGCCACAUUGGGACUGAGACACGGCCCAAACUCCUACGGGAGGCAGCAGUAGGGAAUCUUCCACAAUGGACGCAAGUCUGAUGGAGCAACGCCGCGUGAGUGAAGAAGGCUUUCGGGUCGUAAAACUCUGUUGUUGGAGAAGAAUGGUCGGCAGAGUAACUGUUGUCGGCGUGACGGUAUCCAACCAGAAAGCCACGGCUAACUACGUGCCAGCAGCCGCGGUAAUACGUAGGUGGCAAGCGUUAUCCGGAUUUAUUGGGCGUAAAGCGAGCGCAGGCGGUUUUUUAAGUCUGAUGUGAAAGCCCUCGGCUUAACCGAGGAAGCGCAUCGGAAACUGGGAAACUUGAGUGCAGAAGAGGACAGUGGAACUCCAUGUGUAGCGGUGAAAUGCGUAGAUAUAUGGAAGAACACCAGUGGCGAAGGCGGCUGUCUGGUCUGUAACUGACGCUGAG